GUACUCACUUUGGCAGAGCGGGUGCUAAGAUUGGAACGAUGCAGAGAUUAGCAUGGCCCCUGCCCAGGGAUGACACACAAAAUCAUGACAUAUUCCAUAUUUUU
Molecule: small nuclear RNA, 104 nt
Filed under: Phocoena sinus (vaquita)
Lineage: Eukaryota; Metazoa; Chordata; Mammalia; Artiodactyla; Phocoenidae
Source: RNAcentral